This 425-nucleotide ribosomal RNA is filed under the name uncultured bacterium. RNAcentral describes it as "bacterial SSU rRNA". It matches the Rfam family "Bacterial small subunit ribosomal RNA", at positions 356 to 773 of the family's 1533-position model. The record is from RNAcentral.
GAGGAAUUUUCCGCAAUGGGCGCAAGCCUGACGGAGCGACGCCGCGUGAGGGAUGAAGUAUUUCGGUAUGUAAACCUCUUUUGCGAGGGAAAAAGGUGUUCGUGCUCAUACCACGGGCAUUUGAUGGUACUUCGCGAAUAAGCCCCGGCUAACUACGUGCCAGCAGCCGCGGUAAUACGUAGGGGGCAAGCGUUGUCCGGAUUUACUGGGCGUAAAGGGCGUGUAGGCGGUUGGAUAAGUCUGACGUGAAAUUCUAGGGCUCAACCCUGGAGCUGCGUCGGAAACUGUCUGACUGGAGUUCGGUAGGGGUCACUGGAAUCCCCGGUGUAACGGUGAAAUGUGUAGAUAUCGGGGGGAACACCUGUGGCGAAGGCGGGUGACUGGGCCGCAACUGACGCUGAUACGCGAAAGCGUGGGGAGCAAAC